GACAGAGGGUGCAACGUUGUUCGGAAUUACUGGGCGUAAAGCGCGUGUAGGCUGCUUCGCAAGUCGGAUGUGAAAGCCCUGGGCUCAACCCAGGAAGUGCAUUCGAAACUGCAGAGCUGGAGUCCUGGAGAGGAAGGCGGAAUUCUCGGUGUAGAGGUGAAAUUCGUAGAUAUCAAGCGGAACACCGGUGGCGAAGGCGGCCUUCUGGACAGUGACUGACGCUGAGACGCGAAAGCGUGGGGAGCAAACAGG
Molecule: ribosomal RNA, 252 nt
Filed under: uncultured bacterium
Lineage: Bacteria
Description: partial 16S ribosomal RNA
Rfam family: Bacterial small subunit ribosomal RNA
Source: RNAcentral